AUCUAGCUGACGAGUCCCAAAUGGGACGAAAUAUUCGUCUUGGAU
Molecule: non-coding RNA, 45 nt
Organism: Schistosoma haematobium
Lineage: Eukaryota; Metazoa; Platyhelminthes; Trematoda; Strigeidida; Schistosomatidae
Source: Rfam